AACACACACCAUGCUAAUGCUAAUCAAAAGAAAGCUGGCACAGGGUGCCUGGGUGGCUCAGUUAAGCGUCCAACUCUUGGUUUCAGCUCAGGUCAUGAUCUCACGGCUUCGUGAGAUCAAGCCCCACGUUGGGCUCUGUGCUGACAGCACAGAGCCUGCUUGGCAUUAUCUCUUUCCCUCUCUCUCUGCCCCUACCCAGCUCACUCUCUCUCUCUCUC
This is a long non-coding RNA of Neofelis nebulosa (Clouded leopard), 218 nucleotides long. RefSeq lists it as uncharacterized. The record is from RefSeq and is a predicted model, not a curated record. The transcript has 2 exons. Lineage: Eukaryota; Metazoa; Chordata; Mammalia; Carnivora; Felidae.